Drosophila sechellia is the source of this 619-nucleotide long non-coding RNA. RefSeq lists it as uncharacterized. Lineage: Eukaryota; Metazoa; Arthropoda; Insecta; Diptera; Drosophilidae. The record is from RefSeq and is a predicted model, not a curated record. The transcript has 6 exons.
GUAUUCAAUUAAUUACCCCAAAACACCGGCAACUAAGUGGACAUCCGGCAACCUUCUGCCUUCUUUCUAUCCGAAUUUCGUUUGGUAAAGUCGUCGGCGCGCUUCUAGUUGUUAAAACUAAAAUAAAAUGAAACCUAUUGCUAUAAUAUUUAAUGCAUGCAAUGCUCAGGUUAUGGGCUUGUAUCUUUUAAAAACUGAUAUUAUGAUCAAUGUAAUAAAAUGAUACACAUACGGCAUCAGCACGAUAAUUUGAAUGGAUCACCAUUUCCACGUGGUGCAAUGUGAGACACCUGGAGACACUUAGAAAUAUUCUAGGGCAUUGAAAACAGCCCGGGGCCUGGAAUUCAAUCUAAUCAUUCGUUGAUCUCCCUUAAGAGGAAUAUUGCGAGGUAUUGGAAUACUUAUCCAAAACUGAAAUUUGAUUGAAACAGUGAAAAGGAAAUCUAAACUAUGAAAAUAUCAUCUUUCACAAGGUUUUCUACUGAUUCGUCUAGAAAAACCUAAAAGGUGGUCUCCCCAGGUGCUAAAUCGCAAUCUUUUAACAAAGUACUUCAUUAUAUAUAAAAUAAAUUCUUUAUUUAUGUGUACAAAAUAAAAUAUUUCAACUGUCUAAAUUAAA